GUGCUCACUUCGGCAGCACAUAUAUCAAAAUUGGAACGAUACAGAGAAGAUUAGCAUGGCCCCUGUGCAAGGGUGACAUGCAAAUUCAUAAAGCAUUCCAUAUUUUU
Molecule: small nuclear RNA, 107 nt
Filed under: Sorex araneus (European shrew)
Lineage: Eukaryota; Metazoa; Chordata; Mammalia; Eulipotyphla; Soricidae
Source: RNAcentral